Molecule: ribosomal RNA, 301 nt
Filed under: uncultured bacterium
Lineage: Bacteria
Description: partial 16S ribosomal RNA
Rfam family: Bacterial small subunit ribosomal RNA
Source: RNAcentral
CAGCCGCCGCGGUAAUACGUAGGGUGCAAGCGUUAAUCGGAAUUACUGGGCGUAAAGCGUGCGCAGGCGGUUAUAUAAGACAGAUGUGAAAUCCCCGGGCUUAACCUGGGAACUGCAUUUGUGACUGUAUAGCUAGAGUACGGCAGAGGGGGAUGGAAUUCCGCGUGUAGCAGUGAAAUGCGUAGAUAUGCGGAGGAACACCGAUGGCGAAGGCAAUCCCCUGGGCCUGUACUGACGCUCAUGCACGAAAGCGUGGGGAGCAAACAGGAUUAGAUACCCCCGUAGUCCCUGUCUCUUAUAC